UCCCUGGAGGACUAGUGGUUAGGCCUUCGGCGCUCUCACUGCCAUGGCCCGGGUUUGAUUCCUGGCCAGGGAA
Molecule: transfer RNA, 73 nt
Filed under: Pangasianodon gigas (Mekong giant catfish)
Lineage: Eukaryota; Metazoa; Chordata; Actinopteri; Siluriformes; Pangasiidae
Description: tRNA-Glu
Rfam family: tRNA
About the family: Transfer RNA (tRNA) molecules are approximately 80 nucleotides in length. Their secondary structure includes four short double-helical elements and three loops (D, anti-codon, and T loops). Further hydrogen bonds mediate the characteristic L-shaped molecular structure. tRNAs have two regions of fundamental functional importance: the anti-codon, which is responsible for specific mRNA codon recognition, and the 3' end, to which the tRNAs corresponding amino acid is attached (by aminoacyl-tRNA synthetases). tRNAs cope with the degeneracy of the genetic code in two manners: having more than one tRNA (with a specific anti-codon) for a particular amino acid; and 'wobble' base-pairing, i.e. permitting non-standard base-pairing at the 3rd anti-codon position.
Source: RNAcentral